GAUGAACGCUGGCGGCGUGCCUAAUACAUGCAAGUCGAGCGAACAGAUGAGGAGCUUGCUCCUCUGACGUUAGCGGCGGACGGGUGAGUAACACGUGGAUAACCUACCUAUAAGACUGGGAUAACUUCGGGAAACCGGAGCUAAUACCGGAUAAUAUAUUGAACCGCAUGGUUCAAUAGUGAAAUACGGUUUUGCUGUCACUUAUAGAUGGAUCCGCGCCGCAUUAGCUAGUUGGUAAGGUAACGGCUUACCAAGGCAACGAUGCGUAGCCGACCUGAGAGGGUGAACGACCACACUGGAACUGAGACACAGUCCAGACUCCUACGGGAGGCAGCAGUAGAGAAUCUUCCGCAAUGGGCGAAAGCCUGACGGAGCAACGCCGCGUGAGUGAUGAAGGUCUUCGGAUCGUAAAACUCUGUUAUUAGGGAAAAACAAAUGUGUAAGUAACUAUGCACGUCUUGACGGUACCUAAUCAGAAAGCCACGGCUAACUACGUG
This 497-nucleotide ribosomal RNA is filed under the name uncultured bacterium. RNAcentral's name for it is "partial 16S ribosomal RNA". It matches the Rfam family "Bacterial small subunit ribosomal RNA", at positions 28 to 507 of the family's 1533-position model. The record is from RNAcentral.